UUGAAUAAACUUGGCUGGGUUGUUGCUGGCUUCUAGAAGUAUGUGCACGCCCAGUCCAUUUUUAUGACCACCUGUGCACCUUGUGUAGAUCUGAAGAAACUCGGGGAAACUCGGUUUGAGAAUUUGCUGUGCGAAAGCCGGCUGUUCUUGUAUUCAGAUCUACGUUAUUUACAUACCCUAAUGAAUGUAUUCGAAUGCUGUAAUUGGCCUUAUGUGCCUCUAAAAUCAAUA
This 231-nucleotide unclassified non-coding RNA is filed under the name uncultured Entoloma. Its description in RNAcentral is "sequence contains ITS1". The record is from RNAcentral. Lineage: Eukaryota; Fungi; Basidiomycota; Agaricomycetes; Agaricales; Entolomataceae.